RNAcentral lists this ribosomal RNA (498 nucleotides) under uncultured bacterium. Its description in RNAcentral is "partial 16S ribosomal RNA". It matches the Rfam family "Bacterial small subunit ribosomal RNA", at positions 28 to 523 of the family's 1533-position model. The record is from RNAcentral.
GAUGAACGCUGGCGGCGUGCUUAACACAUGCAAGUCGAACGAAGCGCUUUAACUUGAUUUCUUCGGAUUGAUUGUUAUUGUGACUGAGUGGCGGACGGGUGAGUAACGCGUGGGUAACCUGCCUCAUACAGGGGGAUAACAGUUGGAAACGACUGCUAAUACCGCAUAAGCGCACGGUAUCGCAUGAUACAGUGUGAAAAACUCCGGUGGUAUGAGAUGGACCCGCGUCUGAUUAGCUAGUUGGCGGAGUAACGGCCCACCAAGGCAACGAUCAGUAGCCGACCUGGGAGGGUGACCGGCCACAUUGGGACUGAGACACGGCCCAAACGCCUACGGGAGGCAGCAGUGGGGAAUAAGGCAAAAUGGGCGAAAGCCUGAUGCAGCGACGCCGCGUGAACGAUGAAGUAUUUCGGUAUGUAAGGUUCUAUCAGCAGGGAAGAAGAAUGACGGUACCUGACUAAGAAGCACCGGCUAAAUACGUGCCAGCCGCCGCCGUAA